UACGUAGGGGGCAAGCGUUGUCCGGAUUUAUUGGGCGUAAAGAGCUCGUAGGUGGUUCGGUAAGUCGGAUGUGAAAUCUCCAGGCUCAACCUGGAGGGGUCAUUCGAUACUGCCGUGACUAGAGGUCGGUAGGGGAGAGUGGAAUUCCUGGUGUAGCGGUGAAAUGCGCAGAUACAGGAAGAACACCCGUGGCGAAGGCGGCUCUCUGGGACGGUACUGACGCUGAGACGGCGAAAGCGUGGGGAGCGAACAGG
RNAcentral lists this ribosomal RNA (254 nucleotides) under uncultured bacterium. RNAcentral's name for it is "partial 16S ribosomal RNA". It matches the Rfam family "Bacterial small subunit ribosomal RNA", at positions 524 to 776 of the family's 1533-position model. The record is from RNAcentral.